CCGAGUUUACAACUCCCAAACCCCUGUGAACAUACCUUUAUGUCGCCUCGGCGGAUCAGCCCGCGCCCCGUAAAACGGGACGGCCCGCCGCAGGAAACCCUAAACUCUGUUUUUAGUGGAACUUCUGAGUAUAAAAAACAAAUAAAUCA
RNAcentral lists this unclassified non-coding RNA (149 nucleotides) under soil metagenome. Its description in RNAcentral is "partial internal transcribed spacer 1". The record is from RNAcentral.